RNAcentral lists this non-coding RNA (21 nucleotides) under Mus musculus (house mouse). The record is from RNAcentral. Lineage: Eukaryota; Metazoa; Chordata; Mammalia; Rodentia; Muridae.
GGUUGGUCCGAGAGUAGUGGU